Molecule: ribosomal RNA, 1371 nt
Filed under: uncultured bacterium
Lineage: Bacteria
Description: bacterial SSU rRNA
Rfam family: Bacterial small subunit ribosomal RNA
Source: RNAcentral
GAUGAACGCUGGCGGCGUGCCUAAUACAUGCGAGUCGAGCGAACGGACGAGAAGCUUGCUUCUCUGAUGUUAGCGACGGACGAGUGAGUAACACGUGGAUAACCUACCUAUAAGACUGGGAUAACUUCGGGAAACCGGAGCUAAUACCGGAUAAUAUUUUGAACCGCAUGGUUCAAAAGUGAAAGACGGUCUUGCUGUCACUUAUAGAUGGAUCCGCGCUGCAUUAGCUAGUUGGUAAGGUAACGGCUUACCAAGGCAACGAUGCAUAGCCGACCUGAGAGGGUGAUCGGCCACACUGGAACUGAGACACGGUCCAGACUCCUACGGGAGGCAGCAGUAGGGAAUCUUCCGCAAUGGGCGAAAGCCUGACGGAGCAACGCCGCGUGAGUGAUGAAGGUCUUCGGAUCGUAAAACUCUGUUAUUAGGGAAGAACAUAUGUGUAAGUAACUGUGCACAUCUUGACGGUACCUAAUCAGAAAGCCACGGCUAACUACGUGCCAGCAGCCGCGGUAAUACGUAGGUGGCAAGCGUUAUCCGGAAUUAUUGGGCGUAAAGCGCGCGUAGCGGUUUUUUAAGUCUGAUGUGAAAGCCCACGGCUCAACCGUGGAGGGUCAUUGGAAACUGGAAAACUUGAGUGCAGAAGAGGAAAGUGGAAUUCCAUGUGUAGCGGUGAAAUGCGCAGAGAUAUGGAGGAACACCAGUGGCGAAGGCGACUUUCUGGUCUGUAACUGACGCUGAUGUGCGAAAGCGUGGGGAUCAAACAGGAUUAGAUACCCUGGUAGUCCACGCCGUAAACGAUGAGUGCUAAGUGUUAGGGGGUUUCCGCCCCUUAGUGCUGCAGCUAACGCAUUAAGCACUCCGCCUGGGGAGUACGACCGCAAGGUUGAAACUCAAAGGAAUUGACGGGGACCCGCACAAGCGGUGGAGCAUGUGGUUUAAUUCGAAGCAACGCGAAGAACCUUACCAAAUCUUGACAUCCUUUGACAACUCUAGAGAUAGAGCCUUCCCCUUCGGGGGACAAAGUGACAGGUGGUGCAUGGUUGUCGUCAGCUCGUGUCGUGAGAUGUUGGGUUAAGUCCCGCAACGAGCGCAACCCUUAAGCUUAGUUGCCAUCAUUAAGUUGGGCACUCUAAGUUGACUGCCGGUGACAAACCGGAGGAGGGUGGGGAUGACGUCAAAUCAUCAUGCCCCUUAUGAUUUGGGCUACACACGUGCUACAAUGGACAAUACAAAGGGCAGCGAAACCGCGAGGUCAAGCAAAUCCCAUAAAGUUGUUCUCAGUUCGGAUUGUAGUCUGCAACUCGACUACAUGAAGCUGGAAUCGCUAGUAAUCGUAGAUCAGCAUGCUACGGUGAAUACGUUCCCGGGUCU